Molecule: ribosomal RNA, 414 nt
Filed under: uncultured bacterium
Lineage: Bacteria
Description: bacterial SSU rRNA
Rfam family: Bacterial small subunit ribosomal RNA
Source: RNAcentral
AGACCGGCGCACGGGUGCGUAACGCGUAUACAAUCUACCGUUUACAGAGGGAUAGCCCAGAGAAAUUUGGAUUAAUACCUCAUAGUAUUUUGAAUCGCAUGAUUUGAUUAUUAAAGUUCCAACGGUAAAAGAUGAGCAUGCGUCCCAUUAGCUAGUUGGUAAGGUAACGGCUUACCAAGGCUACGAUGGGUAGGGGUCCUGAGAGGGAGAUCCCCCACACUGGUACUGAGACACGGACCAGACUCCUACGGGAGGCAGCAGUGAGGAAUAUUGGACAAUGGGCGCAAGCCUGAUCCAGCCAUGCCGCGUGCAGGAUGACGGUCCUAUGGAUUGUAACUGCUUUGUACAGGAAGAAACACUCCGACGUGUCGGAGCUUGACGGUACUGUAAGAAUAAGGAUCGGCUAACUCCGUG